This 1372-nucleotide long non-coding RNA is filed under the name Nicotiana benthamiana. Its description in RNAcentral is "long non-coding RNA (NBEN_LNC011491)". Lineage: Eukaryota; Viridiplantae; Streptophyta; Magnoliopsida; Solanales; Solanaceae. The record is from RNAcentral.
CCUCACUUUUCUGAACAAGAGCCAUGACUUUACUCUUGAUAGGUUUCUUCUUUGAUGAACCAGGUUCAUUUGGAAUGGCACUGACUAAAUAGUCACAAGCAAGCAGAGUAUUAAUGCCAAAGUAAUUCUUGCUUGUAGCCAUUUUCCAUUUUUUCUGAGGCACAUUGUACCUACCCAGAAUCGUAUUCAGAAUAAAGUCAUAGGAGGUGUCUUGAGCCUUGGAGCCAUUGAUAGCCCUGUCCAGUAGCUUGAUGAUGAAUGCAUGCCAGUUAAUUUACCUUCCACUUUCAAGGCACUCCAUCAGGACUAAGUCCAUUUAAUUUGCAAUAUGCCUUCUCUCUUGCCUGGGCAGUAGGCCUUGUUGAGAAACGCAAAAAUGGCUUUGUGAUGUGGUUUCAUUUCACUUUUAUGCACAAAUUUGGCCUCAUUCACUUAUGCAGCAUUACAGAAUCUCCUAAUGAUAUUAAGGGCAGAUGGAAAGGAAUCAAUACUUGGCCAUUUCUGUCUGAUGUAAUCACCAUAUCCCUUAUUAGGGAUGUCUAGAAUCUCUGCCAACUUCUCUGCAUCAAAUGUCACUUGACUUUUCUUGUAACUCUGCCGUCUAUUACCUCAGCAUUCGCCAUGAAUUCAAUGAUUUAUUUUCUGGUCAAUCUCCCAUCCAUCUGAAGAACUAUGUCCUUCCAGCCCUGAGUAGCUAGGGUGUCAACCAAAUGGACCAUGCCUUGGUCCACCAAAUUUUUCAGCAAUCUUCCCUUCAAAAAUGUUCUUUUGCAAAACAUUGCCAGCUUGUCUUCUUCACCAUCAGACUCACGUUCUUCUUUAACAUUCUAUUCCUCAUCUUCAAAAACUCUAACUUGUUUGCUUUUCACUGCAGACCUUGUCUUCUUGGCCUAUGAAGGUUCAACAGCCUUAGACACAGAUGAAGAUUGAUUGGAUUUUUUGGGCUUGGGGGUUUGAACCUCCAUUGUUAUAUGGUCUUCCUAAUGGACCUAUUCCAUAUCCUCAACAUAAUAAACUUCAAAGGAUUCUGCAACCUUACCUUUUUCUUUAUCUAUCCUUUUUCUUCUUACUUUAAGCCAAAGCCUUUUGUAGGCCACUCUCACUCUGUUUUACCCUACUUCUUGUAGCACUUCCCUUUGGCAAGGGAGUUUCAGUAGUUGUUUGGGAGGAAGCCUUUCGUUUCUUGGAAGGUUUAGUAACACUGAGGGCUUUUGGUAUGAGAAUUUUCCUUUUCUUUGGAUCAUAACUUGCACCUACCUUUUUCAGAAGGUCUGCUAGGGUCUCUUCAAUUGAUGAACCAGGUUCAUCUCCCCGGGAGCUUAGAUUAACUAGUCCCUCAGCAACCUCCCCUGAACCGCUUCCCCCUGACUUU